This 441-nucleotide ribosomal RNA is filed under the name uncultured bacterium. RNAcentral describes it as "bacterial SSU rRNA". It matches the Rfam family "Bacterial small subunit ribosomal RNA", at positions 343 to 796 of the family's 1533-position model. The record is from RNAcentral.
UGGAGGCAGCAGUGGGGAAUAUUGCACAAUGGGCGCAAGCCUGAUGCAGCAACGCCGCGUGAGGGAUGACGGCCUUCGGGUUGUAAACCUCUUUUAGUAGGGAAGAAGCGCAAGUGACGGUACCUGCAGAAAAAGCACCGGCUAACUACGUGCCAGCAGCCGCGGUAAUACGUAGGGUGCAAGCGUUGUCCGGAAUUAUUGGGCGUAAAGAGCUCGUAGGCGGCUUGUCGCGUCUGCUGUGAAAACCCGAGGCUCAACCUCGGGCUUGCAGUGGGUACGGGCAGGCUAGAGUGCGGUAGGGGAGAUUGGAAUUCCUGGUGUAGCGGUGGAAUGCGCAGAUAUCAGGAGGAACACCAAUGGCGAAGGCAGAUCUCUGGGCCGUAACUGACGCUGAGGAGCGAAAGCAUGGGGAGCGAACAGGAUUAGAUACCCCUGUAGUCC